UACGUAGGGUGCGAGCGUUGUCCGGAAUUAUUGGGCGUAAAGAGCUUGUAGGCGGUUUGUCGCGUCUGCUGUGAAAAUCCGGGGCUCAACCCCGGACUUGCAGUGGGUACGGGCAGACUAGAGUGUGGUAGGGGAGACUGGAAUUCCUGGUGUAGCGGUGGAAUGCGCAGAUAUCUGGAGGAACACCGGUGGCGAAGGCGGCAUCCUGGACCGGUAUCGACGCUGAGGAGCGAAAGCCAGGGGAGCAAACGGG
Molecule: ribosomal RNA, 253 nt
Filed under: uncultured bacterium
Lineage: Bacteria
Description: partial 16S ribosomal RNA
Rfam family: Bacterial small subunit ribosomal RNA
Source: RNAcentral